Molecule: ribosomal RNA, 490 nt
Filed under: uncultured bacterium
Lineage: Bacteria
Description: partial 16S ribosomal RNA
Rfam family: Bacterial small subunit ribosomal RNA
Source: RNAcentral
AUUGAACGCUGGCGGCAGGCCUAACACAUGCAAGUCGAACGGUAACAGGAAGAAGCUUGCUUCUUUGCUGACGAGUGGCGGACGGGUGAGUAAUGUCUGGGAAACUGCCUGAUGGAGGGGGAUAACUACUGGAAACGGUAGCUAAUACCGCAUAACGUCGCAAGACCAAAGAGGGGGACCUUCGGGCCUCUUGCCAUCGGAUGUGCCCAGAUGGGAUUAGCUGGUAGGUGGGGUAACGGCUCACCUAGGCGACGAUCCCUAGCUGGUCUGAGAGGAUGACCAGCCACACUGGAACUGAGACACGGUCCAGACUCCUACGGGAGGCAACAGUGGGGAAUAUUGCACAAUGGGCGCAAGCCUGAUGCAGCCAUGCCGCGUGUAUGAAGAAGGCCUUCGGGUUGUAAAGUACUUUCAGCGGGGAGGAAGGGAGUAAAGUUAAUACCUUUACUCAUUGACGUUACCCGCAGAAGAAGCACCGGCUAACUCCGUG